UGUAGAGUUUGCCAAUGUAGCCAAGGUUGGAGAACUCCAGCAUUGCCCAGGUCGUCGUCUUAGCUUCUUGCUCCUCCACACGCUUUUUUACGGUUGUGAGGAAGUUCUUUGCGGAGGAGACGUCGUCCUCCAGCUGGAGCCAGUUGACAUCGGAAUCUGCCAGCAGAACUACAACCACCAUGGAGGAGUGCUCUUCAGGAGAUGAUCGAGAGAAGAGGGAUACUAACGUGGGGAUCAGAUAGCUGCCCUUCUUCCUCUUCACCGACGAUAGUCCAAUGCAUAGAUGCCCUAUCGGGAAGAAGAAGAGCAUGUAACCUUUUAAAUCACGUCAUACUACAUAUCUGAGUUAUUUCAUUAUAUUUUACAUUUAGAAUCAAUUUUACAGCCGGUUCAUGCCCCCAACACCCUGAGUAAUGGUUUAAGCCAAAAUCUACAUUGACAUCAGCUAUUGCGCAAACAAUAACUGCUGUGGUAUGUAAAGUGUUUGGUGGUAUGUAAAGUGUUCAGUGGUCCAUAUUUAGACGAAAUGGAAAGAAAACGUACUCAUUUGAGUGACUGGUAUCCCUGCAAGCAGUUGAUAGGUCACAUUGAGAGGCAGGUAAUCUCCUUGCUCCACCCAUGACUCCAUACUGACCAUCCUUUCUGCCUUCCAUGCGAUGUUCAUUGGUUCCUCUGACCUGUUCGGG
Syngnathus typhle (broad-nosed pipefish) is the source of this 686-nucleotide long non-coding RNA. RefSeq lists it as uncharacterized. Lineage: Eukaryota; Metazoa; Chordata; Actinopteri; Syngnathiformes; Syngnathidae. The transcript is spliced from 2 exons. The record is from RefSeq and is a predicted model, not a curated record.